GACGAACGCUGGCGGCGUGCCUAAUACAUGCAAGUAGAACGCUGAAGGGAGGAGCUUGCUCUUCUUGGAUGAGUUGCGAACGGGUGAGUAACGCGUAGGUAACCUGCCUUGUAGCGGGGGAUAACUAUUGGAAACGAUAGCUAAUACCGCAUAACAAUGGAUGACCCAUGUCAUUUAUUUGAAAGGGGCAAAUGCUCCACUACAAGAUGGACCUGCGUUGUAUUAGCUAGUGGGUGAGGUAACGGCUCACCUAGGCGACGAUACAUAGCCGACCUGAGAGGGUGAUCGGCCACACUGGGACUGAGACACGGCCCAGACUCCUACGGGAGGCAGCAGUAGGGAAUCUUCGGCAAUGGGGGCAACCCUGACCGAGCAACGCCGCGUGAGUGAAGAAGGUUUUCGGAUCGUAAAGCUCUGUUGUAAGUCAAGAACGAGUGUGAGAGUGGAAAGUUCACACUGUGACGGUAGCUUACCAGAAAGGGACGGCUAACUACGUG
RNAcentral lists this ribosomal RNA (497 nucleotides) under uncultured bacterium. RNAcentral's name for it is "partial 16S ribosomal RNA". It matches the Rfam family "Bacterial small subunit ribosomal RNA", at positions 28 to 507 of the family's 1533-position model. The record is from RNAcentral.